UGGGGAAUUUUGGACAAUGGGCGCAAGCCUGAUCCAGCCAUGCCGCGUGCGGGAAGAAGGCCUUCGGGUUGUAAACCGCUUUUAGCCGGAAAGAAAAGGCACAGGCCAAUACCCUGUGUUCUUGACGGUACCGGCGGAAUAAGCACCGGCUAACUACGUGCCAGCAGCCGCGGUAAUACGUAGGGUGCGAGCGUUAAUCGGAAUUACUGGGCGUAAAGCGUGCGCAGGCGGUCCGUUGUGUCCGAUGUGAAAGCCCCGGGCUUAACCUGGGAAUGGCAUGGGAAACUGGCGGGCUGGAGUGUGGCAGAGGGGGGUGGAAUUCCGCGUGUAGCAGUGAAAUGCGUAGAGAUGCGGAGGAACACCGAUGGCGAAGGCAGCCCCCUGGGCCAACACUGACGCUCAGGCACGAAAGCGUGGGGAGCAAGC
RNAcentral lists this ribosomal RNA (426 nucleotides) under uncultured bacterium. RNAcentral's name for it is "bacterial SSU rRNA". It matches the Rfam family "Bacterial small subunit ribosomal RNA", at positions 355 to 773 of the family's 1533-position model. The record is from RNAcentral.